GACGGAGGAGGCAAGCGUUUAUCCGGAAUUAUUGGGCGUAAAGCGUCCGCAGGCGGCUUUUUAAGUCUGUUGUCAAAGCCCACAGCUCAACUGUGGAUCGGCAAUGGAAACUGGGAGCUAGAGUGUGGUAGGGGUAGAGGGAAUUCCCGGUGUAGCGGUGAAAUGCGUAGAUAUCGGGAAGAACACCAGUGGCGAAGGCGCUCUACUGGGCCACAACUGACGCUGAGGGACGAAAGCUAGGGGAGCGAAAGGG
Molecule: ribosomal RNA, 253 nt
Filed under: uncultured bacterium
Lineage: Bacteria
Description: partial 16S ribosomal RNA
Rfam family: Bacterial small subunit ribosomal RNA
Source: RNAcentral